UAACGCGUGGGCAACCUGCCUUACACAGGGGGAUAACAGUUAGAAAUGACUGCUAAUACCGCAUAAGACCACGAAACUGCAUGGUUUUGUGGUAAAAACUCCGGUGGUGUAAGAUGGGCCCGCGUCUGAUUAGGUAGUUGGCGGGGUAACGGCCCACCAAGCCGACGAUCAGUAGCCGACCUGAGAGGGUGACCGGCCACAUUGGGACUGAGGCACGGCCCAGACUCCUACGGGAGGCAGCAGUGGGGAAUAUUGCACAAUGGGGGAAACCCUGAUGCAGCGACGCCGCGUGAGCGAUGAAGUAUUUCGGUAUGUAAAGCUCUAUCAGCAGGGAAGAAAAUGACGGUACCUGACUAAGAAGCCCCGGCUAACUACGUGCCAGCAGCCGCGGUAAUACGUAGGGGGCAAGCGUUAUCCGGAUUUACUGGGUGUAAAGGGAGCGUAGACGGCUUUGCAAGCCAGAUGUGAAAGCCCGGGGCUCAACCCCGGGACUGCAUUUGGAACUGUAUGGCUGGAGUGUCGGAGAGGCAGGCGGAAUUCCUAGUGUAGCGGUGAAAUGCGUAGAUAUUAGGAGGAACACCAGUGGCGAAGGCGGCCUGCUGGACGAUGACUGACGUUGAGGCUCGAAAGCGUGGGGAGCAAACAGGAUUAGAUACCCUGGUAGU
Molecule: ribosomal RNA, 665 nt
Filed under: uncultured bacterium
Lineage: Bacteria
Description: bacterial SSU rRNA
Rfam family: Bacterial small subunit ribosomal RNA
Source: RNAcentral